AGAGCGAACGCUGGCGGCAGGCCUAACACAUGCAAGUCGAACGGACCCUUCGGGGUUAGUGGCGGACGGGUGAGUAACACGUGGGAACGUGCCUUUUGGUUCGGAAUAGCUCCUGGAAACGGGUGGUAAUGCCGAAUGUGCCCUUCGGGGGAAAGAUUUAUCGCCAUUAGAGCGGCCCGCGUCUGAUUAGCUAGUUGGUGAGGUAAAGGCUCACCAAGGCUACGAUCAGUAGCUGGUCUGAGAGGAUGACCAGCCACAUUGGGACUGAGACACGGCCAAACUCCUACGGGAGGCAGCAGUGGGGAAUCUUGCGCAAUGGGCGAAAGCCUGACGCAGCCAUGCCGCGUGAAUGAUGAAGGUCUUAGGAUUGUAAAAUUCUUUCACCGGGACGAUAAAUGAACGGUACCCGGAGAAAGAAGCCCCGGCGUAACUACGUGCCAGCAGCCGC
Molecule: ribosomal RNA, 448 nt
Filed under: uncultured soil bacterium
Lineage: Bacteria
Description: bacterial SSU rRNA
Rfam family: Bacterial small subunit ribosomal RNA
Source: RNAcentral